GAUUGCAGGCUGCAACUCGCCUGUAUGAAGUUGGAAUCGCUAGUAAUCGCGGAUCAGCAUGCCGCGGUGAAUACGUUCCCGGGCCUUGUACACACCGCCCGUCACACCAUGAGAGUCGGGAACACCCGAAGUCCGUAGCCUAACCGCAAGGGGGCGCGGCCGAAGGUGGGUUCGAUAAUUGGGGUGAAGUCGUAACAAGGUAAC
Molecule: ribosomal RNA, 204 nt
Filed under: uncultured bacterium
Lineage: Bacteria
Description: partial 16S ribosomal RNA
Rfam family: Bacterial small subunit ribosomal RNA
Source: RNAcentral